Molecule: long non-coding RNA, 2109 nt
Organism: Piliocolobus tephrosceles (Ugandan red Colobus)
Lineage: Eukaryota; Metazoa; Chordata; Mammalia; Primates; Cercopithecidae
Source: Ensembl
AUGGACAAGUUAGACAUGGAUAAGUUAGACAUGGUCAAGUUAGACAGCAUGGACAAGUUAGACAGCAUGGACAAGUUAGAUAGCAUGGACAAGUUAGACAGCAUGGACAAGUUAGACAGCAUAGACAAGUUAGACAUGGAUAAGUUAGACGUGGUCAAGUUAAACACAGACAAGUUAUACAACAUGGACAAAUUAAACGCAAACAACUUGGAUAACAUCAACAGUACGAACCCAAUUAGGAACGACAGUUAUCAUUAUAUAAAAAUUAAAAAUAAUUGGAAUGCUGUUACAAAAUAUAUUAUUUUAAUUUAUUUAACAUGCUUAUAUAAAUUUAACUUAUUCAAAUUGUACAUAUUUAAUAGAUACAAAAAAUUAUUUUAUUAUAUACACAUAGAGCUUAAACAAAAAGAAACAGAUACAAUUGUUUAUGAAAUAGACACUGUGGAAUAUGGAAGUAAAUUAAAUGAUAUGGUUCAUGGUCUGGUUGUUAAAACUAAACUAGAUGAUAACAACAAUAUUGAUAAUGUCGAUAAUGUCCAUAAUGUUGAUAAUGACAAUAAUGACAACAUUGACAAUAAUGUCAUUUCACCGUGGAGUGUUACUAGAAUUGGUAAUAGAAUAAAUUUUUUAGGUCGUUCAAAGUGGAUUGAUACAAAAUGGAUUAGCAUAGUAAACUUUCAAUGUCUCUUCUGCGAAAAAGGCAACAACAACAACAACAACAACAAUGAUACGUCUAUACCUGCCCAAUAUUAUUUGAUAAGUUACAAUACUGAAGAUUAUUUAUUUAAAAAAAAUGAAAACAUUAAAAAAGAGAAUAGUAAUUUCCUUUUUCUUUAUGAAGAACUGGUUUAUCCACAUUUUAUUCAUUCAGGAAAUAUUUUUGUAUUUAAUACGAAUGUAAAUAUAAAAGAUAAAAAGAAUACUUUUAUUUUGAUUAAUAAUGUAAAUCCAUAUAUAUAUAUAAAAAAAACAAAUAAGAGUCAUAUUACUAUACAUUGGACAUUAUCUAUGCUUUUUAUACCUGCAUGGUUAAUAACUAAUUUAGUUUAUUUUUUUUUAGUAAAAAAUGUAUGGAGACAAACAAUGAAUCCUUUUCACAGAUUAUUACUAUCACCAUCUAUUGUUCGUUUACUUUCUUAUAUCUUUUUAUUAAUGUUUUGUAUAUUAUAUUCUACAAACGGGACCCAUUAUAUAUGGAAGGAAUACUGUAUAUUGGCUUAUAUUAUUUUAAAUACAAUGUUUAAUACAUUGUUUUAUGCCAUUUUACUUUUAGUUAGUAAAGGAUAUAUGAUCACAAGAGAAUAUUUUGAUAAAAAAGAAGGUUUAUAUUUAACCAUAUUAAUUACUUUUAUUUAUAUUUUUAUUUCAUUUAAUCAAUUGAAUCUUUUAAAUAACGCAUAUGUAUUAAUAUUUGUAUUUAUGUUUUUACUAAGUAUUAUUGUAUAUAAUGUUUUGCGUAUUAUCAAAUUUUUACAAUUAAAGUUGGCUAUUAUUCGAAAUGUAACUAAUGGUGGUUCUGUUAAUAAUACGGAUACAAAUAAUACUACCAGUUCCAACAAUAUUAUACAAACAUUUGAAUACCCAAUUCAUAUUAAAAUAAGCAUGUAUAAAAUGUAUUUAUUUAUAAAUAUUCUUUUCUUUAGCUUUUCCAUUCUAUUACAAUUUUUAAAAAAUAUAUUAAACCUUUCACAAGAUCAUAUUAUAUUAAUUGAAUAUACUAGUGAGUUGGUUAUAUGGUGUUGUAUUUUAUACAUUUUUCGAUACAGGGGAGACAUUUUAUAUUUUACUUUAAAAUAUGAAAAUAUAACACUCAAUACGAUUCCAUUAUAUGUUGUUAAACAGAGUGACUUAUGCCAUCACAUCCGUACAAACAUUACUGGAUCAUCUGAUGUUGGUUGUACUAUUCAUUGUAUAAACCGAUGUCAAAGAAAUUGUACAGACACAUGUAAUAACGAAUGUGCAAAUAAUUGUUCCAUAGAAAAUUGUGAAUUUAAAUAUCCUAUUUUUAUUUUAAACCCUUUCCAAAACAGUGACCAGAAUAUUUUUUCAAAUAUGAGCAUCGGAUUGCCUAUUAAUAAUGAUGGUAAAAAAAAAUAUACAUAUAUUUAG